RNAcentral lists this ribosomal RNA (924 nucleotides) under Triticum aestivum (bread wheat). Its description in RNAcentral is "partial small subunit ribosomal RNA". The record is from RNAcentral. Lineage: Eukaryota; Viridiplantae; Streptophyta; Magnoliopsida; Poales; Poaceae.
AUGUUUGCCUCAAACCCGACGGAGGUAGUAUUAGUGCAUGAUUCAUGGCCGGUGCUAGGCGUAAACCGGUUGAUGGCAGGGACUUUUACACCACCUUGCCAGCCGUCUGAUCUGCCUACUAGUGGUCGUUGGAUUACACCUCACGCAGGGAAGCUUUCAACGCAGCGCUAUCACACCUCACGCAGUGCUCCAAGCCUCCAACGUAGCAUCGACGCGGCCAGCCAGCUCCAUUGCAGCUCCAACGCGGCACCGACGCUCCGGCGAAGCUCCAUUCCAACUACGGUCGAGCUCCACUCCAGCCCGGGCCAAAGCUCCAAAGCAGCACUGACGCUCCGGCGAGCUCCAUUGCAGCCCGGGCGCAGCUCCAAAGCAGCACCGACGGCGCACGCAGCACUGGCGCGUCCGGCGAAGCUCCAUUUCAACUCCGGCGGGGCUUCAACAGCUGCGACACCGGAGCCGCCGCCGACCGCUGCAACGCAACACCGUGUGUCGCCGGUGAGAGCUCCAUUGGAGCACCGAGCGCUGCACUACAGCUUCGAGCCCGCCAGAGAGCCCUGCAACAUAGCACCGGGAGCCGCCGGAGAGAGCUCCAAUGGAGCACCGAGCGCGGCACUGCAGCUUCGAGAGCGCCGGCGAGCUCCAUUGGAGCACCGAGCGCUGCACUGCAGCUUCAACAGCCGUCGGCGAGUGCUGCAACGCAGCACCUCGAUCCGCCGGCAAGAGCUCCAUUGCAGCACCGCCGCUGGCUUGCGGGGCGUGUGGUGGUGGCCGUGGCCGUUGGAGUGGGGGGCGGAGGCGGAGGAGGAGGAGGAGGGGGUGGCGGAGGGGCGCGCGAGGCGGCGGAGCGAGUCCUCGCCGAUGACCUUGGCGCCGCGGUCGGUGUCGCGCAAGAGGUCGAUGCGGUCGGGCCCGUGGAUCUUGUAG